AUGUACGCCAUCACCUUGGGCAUGCUCGUGGCGCUGCUGCUCGGCCUCAACAUGUCCUGGAGUGCCAUUAUCGCCGCCCUCACGCUCAUCUUCCUCGACUUCAAGGACGCCCACCCCUACCUCGAGAAGCCGUGGGUUAAUGUUGGUGGUUUUGUUCUACUUGGAUGCAUUGGUACCCAUCAUCGAGCGAACGGAUGCAACAACGGCAAGAAGCUCAUGGCUGUGUGCAUCUAA
Molecule: ribosomal RNA, 234 nt
Filed under: Triticum aestivum (bread wheat)
Lineage: Eukaryota; Viridiplantae; Streptophyta; Magnoliopsida; Poales; Poaceae
Description: partial small subunit ribosomal RNA
Source: RNAcentral